Molecule: RNA transcript, 4111 nt
Organism: Drosophila gunungcola (fruit fly)
Lineage: Eukaryota; Metazoa; Arthropoda; Insecta; Diptera; Drosophilidae
Exons: 5
Source: RefSeq, a predicted model, not a curated record
UCCCAGGGCGGAGUACCCUUAUGCCCUGCAGUCCGAACAAUCGAUUCCGACUCAUCGGACGUCUCACGUCACUAACUUGACGAUUUACCAUCUCUACCACAAAGCAAAACAAAACAAAGCUAUAUUUACAUCAAAACUUUGACAAUUGGACGAAAUUGGUGGCUUCGAUGUCCUUGCCACGACGCACCCACCCAACCUUGGGUGCCCCAAAAGGAUGUAGGAGGCACGCCCCAUCUCCGGCAGACCGGAGUCUAUUCCUGGUGGAUUAGGAUCGGCUCAUCUCCCCGCCCAAGAAACACUCAAGGCCGAUCUCAGACCGUAGCCCAGAUGAAAAGCGGUCAAAGCGGCAACAACCGAAGGGAAAUUUUUAGACGCUUAAUACUACAAGUGUCAGUCAAAAAUCGCCGCACGGCACUAAUUUGGAGGCGUUUGCCAACCGGGUCGCCUAAUCCUGAGGAGCUCCAAGGGAAAUGAAGGGAUGUGCUGAAAAUGUAGUUGGACGCGCGGCCAGGGUUCGGAAUUAAGCCUCUAAUUUUAGAUUAGAUUUCACACUUAUUUAUUGCAGAGUUCCUCGUCGGAUGUGGUUAAAACUGCAGCCAGAAUGGAAAAAUCGCUAGCGGCGAAAACCAGCGCGAGUCCGCACGGAGCCAAUUGGUCCGGAGGAUUGCGCAGCGUCCGCGUAAGAGGGGCCGGAGGCAGUGCGUCGGUGGACUUGGAGAUGACCACGUGGCCAGCGCGGGCAUUCGUUCCCGGAACGGACUCACCGAGGGAAUCUGGCCGUCUCGGAGACAGUCGCUGUAGCUGCUGGCGCUGGAGGCUGCUGCUGCUGCGGCUGAUGCUGCUGCGGCUGAUGCUGCUGCGGCUGAUGCUGCUGCGGCUGAUGCUGCUGCGGCUGAUGCUGCUGCGGCUGAUGCUGCUGCGGCCAAUGCUGCUGCGGCUAAUGCUGCGGCUAAUGGACGACGACCAGGUUAGGUCCGCCUGUAGUAAAAAUGGUAUAGCUGAUAUAGAAAGGGUUCAAAAAAAUUAACGAAAAACUUAGAAUCAUAAAUACACUCUCAGAUGCUGAAGACAAAUUAAUGAAUAUGAAAAAACCACGUAAGUUUACAAUCAUGAAAUAACCCAUGAUGCCACUGGUAAAACCACUGCUCAAAUCUUUCUUUAUGGUAUGGAACCAACCCAAGUAUAUGCAAAAACAAAAAGAAAAUAAAAUAGAUCAAAUUAACAAAACCCGCGAAGAACAUAAAGUAAAUCUUAGAUAUACCAAAGCUGAAAAACGUAAAGCGAAAUUAGUAAACCCAUUCAAAAAGACAGGAGCAAUAAAACAGAAAGACGAAAAGCAUUGGCAAGAAACUAACAGAGGUCAUAAAGUAAUAAAGUAAAUUUAAAAAAGGUAAAGCGCUUAAUCACUCUAAUCAUUCCAGAAAAGCUGACAGUACUGACUCUGAAUUUGAAAAUGAUCAUGCUAAUGGCGUGGACGAAACAAAUGAGCAUGUAUUUAUUUAUUCGCCAAUGGAUUAAUCUUUAUCUGGCUUAUCAGCUAACUUAACUCUAAAACUAUAUUAUUUAUUUGAGUUUAAUAGGAAGGUACUAUCAAUACUACCAAUUAUUACAUCGUUGAGAAAGAGCAGGCUCGCUAUCGAACGCCUAUCUACAAGACUGCAGGUGUGCCGUAGGCAAUAUUGGCUAGAGUAAGCUGGCCUAGUAUUACACGUAUCACUUCAAAUUAUUUACUUAUGAACACAGGAUUGUAAAAAUACCUAUAAAUUACGAACAUCAUAUGAUACAAAUUAAUAAAACAAAAAUAUUAGAAACAUAUCAGGGCUUUAUGAAAUACGAAAACAAGUUUAAUUACGUAUCAGACAUUGCCUUAUGACUAAAACAACUAAAAUAUGAAAUCAAGGGAAUUAUUUCUACACAAAGACAAAAAACGAGGAAGAUGAUAAAAAAGAGUUAGAAGAUAAAUUAGAAAAUUAACAAGUUCAAGUAAUUAAAAAUAAAGUUUUAAUGAAAUAGUUAAAAUAAUAAAUAGACAAUCCGAAGACAUAUAAAUACUUGUAAAAGAUGAUGAAGAAAUGUAUGCAUUAUACAUUUUUAGAUAUUCAUUAAAUAUUUUCCUUGAAUAUGUUGAAGAUUUACAAAUGGGAUUGCAAUUAACAAGAAAAGGAAUAUUUAAUCCUAAAAUAUUUAAACAUGAUGAGUUGGAUGACAUAGACGAAGAAAAACUUUUAUCAAUCAAAACUUCAGCUUGGAUAAGUAGCCAGACUAAAGACACUUUUAUUUUAGUUGUUAUACCAACUUCAUUUAAAUAAAUCCAAAAGUAUAGAAUUAUAAAAUACCCAGAUAAUAUUGGCCGACAAAUUGACAUAGAUGACAAAUUAGAAUAAAAACAAUGUUUUUUAUUUGGAAAAUACAGCAAAAAUAUUAGACAAGAAAUGUAUAAUCACUGAUCAAUGUAUCUCUCAAAUUCUUACGAAUCAAUUAGCGAAUUGUCAACACACAUUUGUAUCAGAGAGUGAAUCUAUAAAAUAUAUUGAAUCUAACAUCAUUGUAACAUAUAAUUUAAGCAGAACACAAAUUAAACAAGAUUGCGAAAUAUUCAACAAAAGGAUACUAGGAAACAACAUAAUACAAUUAACUCAAUGAAAUUUAGAAAUAAGAAUCAUAAAAUUUACUAUUUCAAAGAUUAUAAACGAAUAAAAAACAAGAAAGAAAGCAAACUUCGGCAAGCCGAAGUUCAUAUACCCUUGCAGCUUUUUCAAAAACUAAAUACUCUUGAAAACGUUAAAAUUAUGAUUUACUUGCGUGUAUGUUUAAAAACAUUGAAGCUAUGAUUAUUUGCAGCUUAAUUAUUUGAUAGUUCCUAUGGCAGCUAUACGAUUGUUCCAAUGGGAGCUAUAUGCUAUAGUCGUCCGAUUUUGAUGAAAUUUAAACUGUAAUUCUGAAAUAUUUAACCAUUACUAUAUGUCGAAGAUCUAAAAUAAAAAAUUUAAAAACACCAAAGUUUUUUUUUUAUGAUUGUUCCUAUGGGAGCUAAAUGCUGUAGUCGUCCGAUUUUAAUGAAAUUUAAACCGUAAUUCUGAAUAUUUAACCAUUACUAUAUGUCGAAGAACUAAAAAAAAUUAAAAAACAGCAAAGUUAUAAUUUUUUUUAUUUAUUUUUUCGAUUGUUCCUAUGGAAGCUAUAUGCUAUAGGCGUCCGAUCCGGCUCGUUCCGACUUAUAUACUACCUGCAAUAAAAAGACAACUUUUGGGAAAGUUUCAUGCAGAUAGCUUUAAAACUGAGAGACUAGUUUGCGUAGAAACGGACGGACAGACGGACACGGCUAGAUCGACUCUCCUAGCGAUGCUGUUCAAGAAUAAAUAUACUUUAUAGGGUCGGAGAUGUCUCCUUCACUGCGUUGCAAACUUCUGACUGAAAUUAUAAUACACCCUGCAAGGGUAUAAUUAUAGUAUCUAGCAUGAAUGUAACAUUAUAUGAACAAAAUCCAUUGUUUAAAAUUAAUAAAUCAAUUAGUUAUCAAGAAAAACAAGAAACUGCGUACAAAUAGAUUGUAUUCACAAUAUUAAUAAUUAUAGUUUUAACCAUCUCUACUUACAUCAUAUUUACCUACAGGUACAAAAAAAAUUUUUGUUAAAUUCAACAAGCAUGUUGAAUGUUCUAAAUGAGGGUCCAAUGACGUAUUGUCAAAAACUCUUGACAUCAAGUCUAGCACCCGGCCGGUAUAUCUCGAGGUACCCAUUACUUCAUUUAUCAAACAUUGACAUGACGUUUCAUUACAUUUCUAACGCCUGUUAUCGGCUUAUGACAUAACAAUUUUGGCCUCAUUCAUUGCUCAAUUUUUGUUUUAACUAAUCGAUACCAAAACAAGAAAGAAAGCAAACUUCGGCAAGCCGAAGUUCAUAUACCCUUGCAGCUAUUGCAAGAAUGAAAUAUUUUUAAAAAAAUUAAAAUUAUGAUUUACUUGCGUAUGUGUUUAAAAACUUGAAGCUGUGAUGAUUUGCAGCUCAAUUAUUAGAUAGUUAUUUUAUAUAUUUUUAUUGUUCCUAUGGGAGCUAUAUGAUAUAGUCGUCCGAUUUUGAUGAAAUUUAAACAGUAAUUCUGAAAUAUUUAU